This 979-nucleotide ribosomal RNA is filed under the name Staphylococcus sp. 76353-111. RNAcentral describes it as "bacterial SSU rRNA". It matches the Rfam family "Bacterial small subunit ribosomal RNA", at positions 84 to 1047 of the family's 1533-position model. The record is from RNAcentral. Lineage: Bacteria; Bacillati; Bacillota; Bacilli; Caryophanales; Staphylococcaceae.
CUUUGACGUUAGCGGCGGACGGGUGAGUAACACGUGGAUAACCUACCUAUAAGACUGGGAUAACUUCGGGAAACCGGAGCUAAUACCGGAUAACAUAUUGAACCGCAUGGUUCAAUAGUGAAAGGCGGCUUUGCUGUCACUUAUAGAUGGAUCCGCGCCGUAUUAGCUAGUUGGUAAGGUAACGGCUUACCAAGGCAACGAUACGUAGCCGACCUGAGAGGGUGAUCGGCCACACUGGAACUGAGACACGGUCCAGACUCCUACGGGAGGCAGCAGUAGGGAAUCUUCCGCAAUGGGCGAAAGCCUGACGGAGCAACGCCGCGUGAGUGAUGAAGGUCUUCGGAUCGUAAAACUCUGUUAUCAGGGAAGAACAAAUGUGUAAGUAACUGUGCACAUCUUGACGGUACCUGAUCAGAAAGCCACGGCUAACUACGUGCCAGCAGCCGCGGUAAUACGUAGGUGGCAAGCGUUAUCCGGAAUUAUUGGGCGUAAAGCGCGCGUAGGCGGUUUUUUAAGUCUGAUGUGAAAGCCCACGGCUCAACCGUGGAGGGUCAUUGGAAACUGGAAAACUUGAGUGCAGAAGAGGAAAGUGGAAUUCCAUGUGUAGCGGUGAAAUGCGCAGAGAUAUGGAGGAACACCAGUGGCGAAGGCGACUUUCUGGUCUGUAACUGACGCUGAUGUGCGAAAGCGUGGGGAUCAAACAGGAUUAGAUACCCUGGUAGUCCACGCCGUAAACGAUGAGUGCUAAGUGUUAGGGGGUUUCCGCCCCUUAGUGCUGCAGCUAACGCAUUAAGCACUCCGCCUGGGGAGUACGACCGCAAGGUUGAAACUCAAAGGAAUUGACGGGGACCCGCACAAGCGGUGGAGCAUGUGGUUUAAUUCGAAGCAACGCGAAGAACCUUACCAAAUCUUGACAUCCUUUGACCGCUCUAGAGAUAGAGUCUACCCCUUCGGGGGACAAAGUGACAGGUGGUGCAUG